UACGUAGGGUGCGAGCGUUAAUCGGAAUUACUGGGCGUAAAGCGUGCGCAGGCGGUCUGUUAAGACCGAUGUGAAAUCCCCGGGCUUAACCUGGGAACUGCAUUGGUGACUGGCAGGCUUUGAGUGUGGCAGAGGGAGGUAUAAUUCCACGUGUAGCAGUGAAAUGCGUAGAGAUGCGGAGGAACACCGAUGGCGAAGGCAGCCCCCUGGGCUGACACUGACGCUCAGGCACGAAAGCGUGGGGAGCAAACAGG
RNAcentral lists this ribosomal RNA (254 nucleotides) under uncultured bacterium. RNAcentral describes it as "partial 16S ribosomal RNA". It matches the Rfam family "Bacterial small subunit ribosomal RNA", at positions 524 to 776 of the family's 1533-position model. The record is from RNAcentral.